GAAUCUAGCCAUUGGUAUUGGCAUUCAAAACUUCCCGAGGGCUUAGCAGUAAGUCUUCCCUUGCAUGCCGCCGGCGUGUCAACAUGGAAAAGUUUUUUGGUGGGGACAGUUGAGUGGAAUGGUGGAACCCUUCUUCGGCCUGUUAGGUGUAAUAGCCGUCGCUCUUGUGGAGCCCUUAUUACCGUAUGCCUUAUCCUUCGCCGCAGGUGCGAUGAUAUACGUUGUCGUCGAUGAUAUCAUACCGGAGGCCAAUUCCAGUUUCAAGAAACUGUCGCGCUACAAAUUGUUUGGAGAAAGCGUUUUCACUAGAAAGCCUGCCUGUGGAACGCCGUUUGUACGAAAACCGACCUUAUGGGGAUAAGAUUCCAUAGCCUGCCCUCCUCCUCCCCAAAAAACAUGGAACUCCAUUCACCAGUGUUGACAGGGCUAUUCACAAAAAAUGUGCCAAACGCGAGUAAACGCGUCUUAUGUACCCCUCUUCCUCCGGCACGUUCACCUGAUGGUUUCUAUGGAUGUUUCAAAAAGAAUGAGAUGGGGCGGCAAAUACAGGCGACCCAUGGGCAGCAAGAAGGUGAAUCCGGCCCUGGUCUUAUCUGGGUUACUUCCAUUCAAACUUUUUGGUGCAAUUCGGCCAGGAAGAGAGAUAGGAGGUAUACAACGGAGUUGUUCAGUGUAAGUAACGAAUGGACCCCUGGUACAGAUGGGUUGUAUAUUCUCAUAUUCCCGUGUUCCCGUUUUGUUAAUUCGAUGCCGAUUUCAGAGCGCCUGCAUUAGCCAGUUGAUCAAUGUGUUGGUUCGAUGCGAUGGAUUGAUCGGAAAGCAGGUCCGGGUAUAAGAAGUACCUGGAACUUGUUUCGGUGAUUUAUCAACCUCCAACCCUUGUGCCGAUCCCAUCCAUUAUUCCAGAUCCAUACCAACUCAAAACGAACAUCAUAGUUGAUAUUUUGGAUAUGAAUCUACGAAUUUAAAUUUCACAGUAGAGAACUUGAUUGACUAUGAAGUAAGG
Molecule: long non-coding RNA, 1006 nt
Filed under: Bemisia tabaci
Lineage: Eukaryota; Metazoa; Arthropoda; Insecta; Hemiptera; Aleyrodidae
Description: lncRNA ENSSSA1NGG003547
Source: RNAcentral